ACGGGACACCUGCAUCUGCCAACAAGACUGGAAGCAGGUGAGGCACACAGAGGGGGAGGCCCGCAGCUGCGUGGGAGGAGGGGUGGUCUGAGGGACGUGGGAUGCCGGGAAUGAGGCUGGUUUGCAGGUUGGCGCAUGGACAUUUUCCCAGAAAGGGACAGAGACGGCGAAGUUUGACGGUCUGGAAAGCAGAGACCAGCAGGGCUGACUGCUUGGGAGCACCAAAUAUCCGGACAGCGCCUCUCGGGAGGUCCGAGAAGAGAACCGCGAUCUGUUUCAGCACCGGGGCUCAGGACAGUUCCCAGCGGGCUCCGUUUCGUCUCCAGAACCCUGGACAGCUCCUCCAGACUUCGGUGAGAAACCUUGUGCCAAGCAUUUUACAUACAUCAUAUCAUGCCAUCUUCAACCCUAGGACAUGGGUGUUACUGUGCCCAUGUGACAUUUGGGGAACCCAAGGCCCUGAGAAAGGCAGAAAAAUAACCCACGCAGGGACUCUCAGCCCACAAGUGAAGCUGAGAACCGGGAAUGGAAAACAGGGAGGCAGCACAGAGGCAGGAAACUCAGGUGUCAUAGCUUGGCUCAGCUUGGAAUGCACUCCCUCCACCUCCAACCAGAGCUCCCCACAACUGACCCUGCCUUCUUCUGCAAGCUCCAUUUCAUCAAGGGAAACGAUCCUUAUUGCCUCACCAUUUCCCACGUGAAGUCUGUAUUGACAUUCUCAUAGACCUGGGAUAUUGUGUCUGCAGCACAUAGUCCAAUUAUUUUCAUGUUAUCUACUGACAGGUCUAUUUGUCUCCCUGUUACACUGUGAGCUCCGUGAGGGCAGAAACAAUGUUAGUAUUUUCACUGCUGUGUCCCCAGCGCCUGGUCCGGGGCCCGGCACACAGCAGGCAUAUAAUAAGCAUGUGUUGAAUCAAUAAAGGCAUCAAAGAAUAAACCAAUACAUCAAUCAAUAAA
RNAcentral lists this long non-coding RNA (957 nucleotides) under Homo sapiens (human). RNAcentral's name for it is "MIR7-3 host gene". The record is from RNAcentral. Lineage: Eukaryota; Metazoa; Chordata; Mammalia; Primates; Hominidae.